UUGUUUAUAAAUAUUCGUUACCGUAGGAAUAAAAGUUGAAAUUAAAAUGGGUUGGCGGCGUGCUGUCUGAAUAGAGGAAUCUGAACAAGAGUCGACAGCCCACGAAUAGCUUAUCUAAUCUUAAUGUUUGUAUAUCUCCGUUGUAAGAAGAUUUUAGAAAAAUAUUUUCUUGAGUUUAUAGUAAAAUAUUAUGACAGGUCAAGGUGCAGCUUAUGGUUAGGUUGAUUUGGAUUACAAUUUUUUUUUGAUAAAAUUACGGACCUAAAUUUGGAAUUGCUUAGGGAAGGUGGAUUUGUUAGUAAUAGGAUUCUUGUGUGGUUCUAUGAAUAAGGAAUAGUAUGUGU
This 344-nucleotide ribosomal RNA is filed under the name Antichiropus uvulus. Its description in RNAcentral is "partial 12S ribosomal RNA". The record is from RNAcentral. Lineage: Eukaryota; Metazoa; Arthropoda; Diplopoda; Polydesmida; Paradoxosomatidae.